Athalia rosae (coleseed sawfly) is the source of this 2108-nucleotide long non-coding RNA. RefSeq lists it as uncharacterized. The record is from RefSeq and is a predicted model, not a curated record. NCBI's taxonomy places the organism in Eukaryota, Metazoa, Arthropoda, Insecta, Hymenoptera, Athaliidae. The transcript is spliced from 2 exons.
AAUAAAAUAAGAUCAAGAAUCUUUGUACAAUAAUUCAGUCGAAGGAGUUUUACUCUGAUGACGUAUCAAAUUUCAUUUACUGUAGUUACGACUUUAAGACCAACAAUAAGGCUGCUUCAGCGACAUUGAUUUACCGCUCAUCCUUUGUGCGUGAUUGUGUGACAAUAAUGAGCGACGGUACUUCUAGCUACGAAUCAAUUAAUUAUUUUGAGGCUUGCUUCAAAUUUCAUUGACCCGAGUUUGGGUGGUUCGUACGAGCUAUUGGCGACAGUCGGUCUUCCCACCGAGCUUCGCACACGAAAGUAAUAACGCUCUCAUUUUACGUCUGCGCUAUAAACGGAGUCACCGGAUGUUGAAAAAGGAAAAUCAUGAAAUUUCUCAACUUGACAAUCGACAAAAAUGUACGUGCGUUAAGACGGAGAUGAUCUCUGCAAAUUCUCCGCGAAGGCUUGGGCCUUCUUGCGAAAGAGAUCGUUCGUGAUUCACAACUUUUUUUUCGAUCUCCACUCGGGUUUCUACGGAGCCAAUAUCGGAACGAGUGCAUUAAGCGCUGAGUUUUACUCGAGAAAAAACUAUUUCUCGAUGUGGCUUUCGAGGUAAGUAUAUUUCACAUUAUCACAUUAUAUAUCCCACAUUGGAUCCAUUGUCCCAAAAGAAGACGUCAUCUGUAACGAGAAUCAUGAUCAUGUAUUUUUAAGCGUACGUUUUCAAAGACACUCGUGUUACAGAUGAGGAGCUGACGAAUAAUAACGUAUCGUAUAAUCAACGCUUACUCAUCAUUUUGGGAUAAUGACUCCAAUAGAAGAAGGAUCUAGUUUACGAUGGAAGCAAUGACUUGCGGCGUUGGUUGUAACAUCAGCGAUGAUAAAUGUGGGCAACGAAAGAUACUGGCUUUCCCGAACACGAAAAAAUGUUGCGAACUCGAAUGUCCUACCGGAAGAAUACAAAUAUUACACCUUGGUUGGAUUUUUCCAUUUUAUCGAUGAGCGGCGUGAUCGGAGCGAUUCUCGGGGCAGUUUUAGCCGACCGAUUCGGCAGGAGAUCAGCCUUGUUAUCGACGAGUGUAUUAGCGAUCGGUCAAAUGAUGGGUAGUUGUUCUACGGACGCCAAGUUCGCGGUGCUUUGUUGAUGCUUCAACUCCCGUUCUUCUACGGUGGGAAAUUGAUUGCCGUUGGAAUCCGUCCGAUACUGCCGGUCGAGAACGUGUGUUACAUUCUGUUUAUCAUCACGUGUAUAUUUCUCGCCGGUUUUAUCCGGCUCCCCGAAACUCCUCACUAUUUGGUAUCGAGGAAAAAAUAUCCAAAGGCGACCGAGUCGUUGAUAUUUUACCGCGGUGUAAAAACCGGCGAGGCGGACGCCGAGGUGGACUCGUUGAUAAACACUUUGGCAGUUUGGUUGAUAUCAGUGGCCGAGGAUGUUGCGGUAAGACUCGCGAAUUGUGCGAAUUGAAUCCACGUUCAAAUAACCAUUUACGCGAUAAGCUUCGUUUGCGGUAUUCUAAUUGUUUUUACAGUUGAUAUAAUUGGGCGCAGAUCGUUCUUGUUGUGCUCAACCUUCGUGGGUUUUAAGCUGGUAAUAAUCGACCUGUUCUUAGGAGGUAAAGAGUCCCACCGGCCGGUGUGUUACGCGAUCGUUAUUACCUUGCAAUUUUAUCAGCUUAUUAUUUCCGCCAUUCCGUUGGCUUACGUCGGGGAAUUGUUUUCGACGAAUGUUGAGGCUUUCGCGAUUUCGACGGUCACGACGUUCAACCUGUUGAUCAGUUUUGUGGUCAUUCUAGUAGUUGAGUUUACCGGUGAGGAUAUCAAUUUCAUCGUUCUCGCUAUAAUGACCUUUAUUUCUUUUCCUGUAACUCUUACCUUCGCUCCCGAAACCAAACGAAAGUCUUUUUCAAGUGUCCAACGCGAAUCGGACAAAUCCGCACUGAUGCAAACAGAUAGCCAAUAUUCGGUAUAUUCGACGGAUUCCAAUUGUUCAGCCGAAGCUAUGAGUUCGUAUGAUUGAAAUUUAUUCACCUUUAGUCCAUGUCAUAAAUGCGUACUUAAUAAAUAAUCUUGUACUACUUAUUUAAUUAUUCCUACCUAAUAAAUAUGAAAAAUGUUAUCAAUGUA